This 30-nucleotide non-coding RNA is filed under the name Rattus norvegicus (Norway rat). The record is from RNAcentral. Lineage: Eukaryota; Metazoa; Chordata; Mammalia; Rodentia; Muridae.
UGAACAUUUGAUAUGGGAAAGUUCUUACUC